This 661-nucleotide unclassified non-coding RNA is filed under the name Bombus terrestris (buff-tailed bumblebee). RNAcentral's name for it is "misc RNA ENSBTSG00005031278.1". Lineage: Eukaryota; Metazoa; Arthropoda; Insecta; Hymenoptera; Apidae. The record is from RNAcentral.
GUUGCACAAGACCCCUUAGAUUGCAUUUCCACUUCCUGGUGUUACGCGGCCGUCGACGAAAGUCCGCGUAUACGAUGACGACAAUGAAGACGGAAAGGCAACCAGAGACAGUAGCCACACGUUUUCCUCAUUACCAAACGAGAUACGCAUUCACCAUGUUUUUCCAUCAUUUUCUCUGCGUCUUUCUUCCUAAAUCUUCUGCGUUUUUCUACACCCUUCUAUAUUUUUUCCGACACACAAACAUGCAAAUAAGUUUUAAAUAACAUAGUUAUCACGUGAUUGGUACACUGUUCCAAACUUUCUAUCUACGUAUAAAAAUUUGAACGUGUAAAACCGGAGCACUCUCGCCAGCAAACAUAAGUAUUUUUUCCGUUGUUGAACGUGCAACAACCAACGAUUAAGCGAGCACCGCCCUGUUGCUCUCACAACGAGCUUCUGGUGAACGGAGGAAGCACUCUUAAAAUCAGCAUGUAGCAAUUUCACGCGCGUUCUUCCUCUGAUUCGUACUUGAGAAGAAGGAAAUGAAUGGUUCUCUACGGAUUAACUCUUGACUGGAUCACUUAAAAUUGUUAGUUUAACAAUUUGCUUUAAUAUUUGUAAUUUUGGCGAUCUAAGUAAUUUUGAUAUAAAGGAGACUAUUCAAGAAAAUAAAAAAAAAACA